This 413-nucleotide long non-coding RNA is filed under the name Vigna radiata. RNAcentral's name for it is "long non-coding RNA (VRAD_LNC006866)". The record is from RNAcentral. Lineage: Eukaryota; Viridiplantae; Streptophyta; Magnoliopsida; Fabales; Fabaceae.
CUCCUUAGUGGGGUACAUGUGUCACCGUCCGGUUCUCCCCUGGUGAGUGGGAGACAAACUCUGCCAACCUUUUAAUUUCCCUUCCCUCGUGAUCCGUGCAGUAUCAGUAUAGCAGAGAAACCCCAGGAAGUGGAAGUCAGGUGUCACGCUGGGAGUUGGCCGACCGUUCGGAUUGGAGGCAGUAUAUAAGGUAGGAAUGAAACCUAACGCCACUUUUGCAUGCAAUCUCCUUCUUCUUCCUCAAACUCAACUUUCUGAAAAUCUCAAAUUCUCCUCCUUCUCUCUAAACCACCCUACCUUCUCUCUAAAAUUCUAACCCAUUUACUGUUCCGAUCACCCUUCAGAUCACACCUGAAGACUCCUGGUGGUCUCCUCUUUCACUUGAACCGUCCGGUUUCGAGUUUGUACCUGAC